RNAcentral lists this long non-coding RNA (328 nucleotides) under Ixodes scapularis (black-legged tick). RNAcentral describes it as "uncharacterized LOC121833876". Lineage: Eukaryota; Metazoa; Arthropoda; Arachnida; Ixodida; Ixodidae. The record is from RNAcentral.
CUGAGCUGGUUGCUGCUUUGAAAAAGAAGCACGUGGCCAUCCCUAUGGUAUUGAACUCAAGAUUUUGAUGUCGCCAUCCCCUGCAGUGGGUGGCAAGUACAAGAAAAAAAAAAAAAGACAGAGGACAGGACGUCCGCUGUGUCGCUUGGGAAGCAUGCCCGGCUGGUUGAAAAGCUGAGGUCGGCAAAGCAGAGGGUGCUGAACCUGGAGCAGGAGCCCCAGAUAGAGAGGACGCUAUCAAGAAGCAGCUGCUGGCACUACUAGUGGACAAUGUCCCGUCUGGCAGGGUUGGGUCAGCUCCUCCAGCUUGCCCAGCAGUGGUUCCUGC